This 440-nucleotide ribosomal RNA is filed under the name uncultured Eubacteriales bacterium. RNAcentral describes it as "bacterial SSU rRNA". It matches the Rfam family "Bacterial small subunit ribosomal RNA", at positions 338 to 795 of the family's 1533-position model. Lineage: Bacteria; Bacillati; Bacillota; Clostridia; Eubacteriales. The record is from RNAcentral.
CCUACGGGGGGCAGCAGUGGGGGAUAUUGCACAAUGGGCGAAAGCCUGAUGCAGCGACGCCGCGUGAAGGAAGAAGUAUUUCGGUAUGUAAACUUCUAUCAGCAGGGAAGAAAAUGACGGUACCUGACUAAGAAGCCCCGGCUAAAUACGUGCCAGCAGCCGCGGUAAUACGUAUGGGGCAAGCGUUAUCCGGAUUUACUGGGCGUAAAGGGAGCGUAGGCGGCAGGGCAAGUCAGAUGUGAAAGACCGAGGCUCAACUGCGGGGUUGCAUUUGAAACUGUCCGGCUAGAGUGUCGGAGAGGUAAGCGGAAUUCCUAGUGUAGGGGUGAAAUGCGUAGAUAUUAGGAGGAACAUCGGUGGCGAAGGCGGCUUACUGGACGAUAACUGACGCUGAGGCUCGAAAGCGUGGGGAGCAAACAGGAUUAGAUACCCCAGUAGUC